RNAcentral lists this ribosomal RNA (253 nucleotides) under uncultured bacterium. RNAcentral describes it as "partial 16S ribosomal RNA". It matches the Rfam family "Bacterial small subunit ribosomal RNA", at positions 524 to 776 of the family's 1533-position model. The record is from RNAcentral.
UACAGAGGUCUCAAGCGUUGUUCGGAUUCAUUGGGCGUAAAGGGUGCGUAGGUGGCAUGGUAAGUCGGAUGUGAAAUCCCGGGGCUCAACCCCGGAACUGCAUUCGAUACUGCUGCGCUAGAGUACUGGAGAGGAGACUGGAAUUUACGGUGUAGCGGUGAAAUGCGUAGAUAUCGUAAGGAAGACCAGUGGCGAAGGCGGGUCUCUGGACAGUUCCUGACGCUGAGACGCGAAAGCGUGGGGAGCAAACAGG